AAAACCAAAAACCAGAGCAAGCUUCUUACAGAUACAGUUUCACACAUGUCAGCAACCUAUUGAGAGAGGAAAAACCCCCUCUGCAGAUGGCUGCUCCACUUCUUCUUUCCACGAAAGACAACGAUCAGACAGUUUGUACCUAGAUCAAAUAUAACAUGUUCCUUUGUCAAACAGAAAGUAUUCACACCCCAGAGGUCAAGCUUAAAGUUCUUCCCUACACCAAACUGUUUUUUUUUAUAUCUUUUGGUGAUAUGACAAUUUAGAACAAGUAUUGUCUUAAUCCUUACCAAAUGGUCUUUCAUGUAGAAUUGCCUUUUGCAAGCACAACUUACUCUCUGGCUGAAGCAACCAUAACAAAAGUUCAGAAUCAGUUUGCAGAUGUUCUUCUCUUCAGGAGUAAUAAUGUCUGGGCUAGCGAUAGCAUCAAUAAAUGCAGUUGCUGAUUUAAAUACUGAGUUACUGAGACUGUUGUUUAUAUAGAGGACAAGCAUCUGCAACGUUUUAUCUUCUGGUCCUAGAGAUCAGCUCUCAAUAGGGGAUCUAUGGUAAGGGUAUGUGUGUCGUGCAUUAUCACGAAUGACCAUUUUAAGGUUGUAUGAAUCUCAGCUUAAACACAGCAUUUCCACUCGGGCCUCAUUAUAGUCAUGGCACAGCCAAAAAGCUACAGUGUACACAUCCAUCACGGCCUAAAGUAUUCAAAUACCGUACUGUAUUCCCCUCUGUGUUGGAAUGUGGUGACAGUGAUGGCCAUUUCAAUAUAAUUAUUGUCAUAUUCACAAAAUCAUAUGAUCUCAAAACCAGUUGGAGAUGAGCUUUAUGACAAUGUGCAUAAAACAACCUCAAGAAGUUGAAUUUCCUUAAUGGUCCAACAUAAGAUGGGGUUGAGAGACAUCUAGUGGUGAAUAUGCAGUGUUGCAUCCAGCCAGCGUUAGACUGGCACAAAUACUGGAAUUUGGUUUGCAUUGUUUACUGGAUUUGAUUAGGCACAAAAAAGGUUUGCAGGAAAAAAACAGUACACAGAGUUUAUGUAGGUGUAUUUCUAUCUAUGUAUGUUCAGUAUAUUAUAAUGUUCUCAGUUACAAUUAUGUCUUCUGUUGUUUUCUAUUUUUGGUACAUAUUACUUUGCUCAUGUUAUGUCAGUUGAUAUAAUAUGUAGCAUUGUUUAUUAUUGAUUACAUUGAUAAUAUUGUUGGCAGAAUUGAUCAUACUCAAUGUCUGAAAUCUAUCUGGAAUUGUUUUUGCUUAAAAUAAUUCGAACUGAAACAAAAAUCUUAAAAUCACUGCAGUGUUCAUGUUUUUGUCAUGUCAAAACAACUACGAUAGUGAUAAUUGCUACCCACUGAUGAAUGCACACAAUAAAGAUAUCGGAAAUUCAUAGCAACUCUGUGACUUGGGACAAAUUAAAUAUCUGCAACAUUUAAAAGAACAGACAAAAUAAUGAAGACACAGCUGAUGAUGCCUUAGG
Long non-coding RNA from Poecilia latipinna (sailfin molly), 1465 nucleotides. RefSeq lists it as uncharacterized. The record is from RefSeq and is a predicted model, not a curated record. The transcript is spliced from 2 exons. NCBI's taxonomy places the organism in Eukaryota, Metazoa, Chordata, Actinopteri, Cyprinodontiformes, Poeciliidae.